AAAUGUAACAUAGUAAAAAGGGGCUGCUUUCUCCACUAAAAUUUGUGCCCGCCAAUUACGUUUGCCUCCUUGGAUGUAGGUGAAAAUCAGGCAUGCAAGAAAAUAAGGCAUGCAACACUAUGGUAAGGCAUGUUUUGUCAUAAGAAAUAAAAGUAACAUCAAUUAUUUUAAUGCUUUCACUAAAGUACCUUGAUACCAAGAGGGUUAGAAAUUCC
RNAcentral lists this unclassified non-coding RNA (215 nucleotides) under Hevea brasiliensis (rubber tree). The record is from RNAcentral. Lineage: Eukaryota; Viridiplantae; Streptophyta; Magnoliopsida; Malpighiales; Euphorbiaceae.